ACGCUCGACACCUACGGGGGGCAGCAGUGGGGAAUAUUGCACAAUGGGGGAAACCCUGAUGCAGCGACGCCGCGUGAAGGAAGAAGUAUCUCGGUAUGUAAACUUCUAUCAGCAGGGAAGAAAGUGACGGUACCUGACUAAGAAGCCCCGGCUAACUACGUGCCAACAGCCGCGGUAAUCUGAGCGGGCUGGCAAGGC
RNAcentral lists this ribosomal RNA (198 nucleotides) under uncultured bacterium. Its description in RNAcentral is "partial 16S ribosomal RNA". It matches the Rfam family "Bacterial small subunit ribosomal RNA", at positions 328 to 539 of the family's 1533-position model. The record is from RNAcentral.